Molecule: long non-coding RNA, 1022 nt
Filed under: Sarcophilus harrisii (Tasmanian devil)
Lineage: Eukaryota; Metazoa; Chordata; Mammalia; Dasyuromorphia; Dasyuridae
Description: lncRNA (ENSSHAG00000030024.1)
Source: RNAcentral
UAAAUUUCAUGGACCUCCACAGUAAUUUAUAGUCUCCAGAAUUUCUGCCUGCUUUACAUGAAAUUUUCUGGCCUUCUGAAUUCCAGGGGCCAUCUAAAAGCAAAUUGUUGGUAACCCAUUUAGCAUAUGUCCUCUAGAUGGCAGAAAAGGAUUUGGUUUUACAGUUUUGAAGUUUUCUCAGCUAUUGGACCAAAGUAUCACCAUCAGCAAAAGCUCUUGGUCAUUUGGUAGCAAAAAAAGUGUCUUGCUUUUCACAAAUGAAUAUAGCACAAUAGGCUUUAGUGACUCAGACGAAUUGAGAGAAUGGUCAAUCUAAGUUAGUGAAAAAGUCUGAUUUCUAGAGUUUCAAAAAUAAACACCCUUUUUAUUAUUUUUCAAAUACAUAUAGGAACUUGAAUAAAGUUGCCAAAUUAGCAAUAGCAAUCUUGGUAUAGGUGGCAAAGAACCUGUAGGUCCUUCAUAGUACAAUGAAAAAUCAAGGCUGCUUAAUUAGGGAAAUCCUAUUUAUUUAUAAUCUAUAGAGAAACUGAUAAGGAAAUCAUUUAUUUUCAAUAUAUAGAGAAAAUGAAGUAUCUAUAAAAGAUUUUUCUGAUUUCCAAUUCUUAUGCAUUUUAUUUCUCUACUUAUUUUUUUAUUUUAUUUUAUUUUUUUAAAAUAGGACUUCUGUCCAGUGUAGAAUUUUAUAAUGUGAAGUUCUGGAAUGGAGCUUGGUGUUUUUAUGACCUUACCAUCGGUGGAACAAUAAAUCAUACAGCAUCCUUUCCCAGUUUAAAAGAAAAAAAGGAAAAAAAAAAAGUAAUAAACACCCAUAAUCAAACCAAAUUCACUUAACUGUCCAUGAUCAAGAAUGUAUGCCGUUAUUUUGAAAUCAUCUCUCUUAUCAGCAGGUAAGAAACACUAUUCAUCAUCAGUCUUCUGAAAUCAUGGUUGGUCAUUGUAUUGAUAGGUCAUAAUUCUUAUGUCUUAGUUGCUUGCUUUAUAACAUUAUCAUAUAGAAUGUCCCCAAAAUCUUAGUUCAGUUU